CCCUGCGGGACCCCGUUCGCUGUGUGCCCCGCUCCUGGUCUUCAGCACAAGCCACACCAGCGGAGUACUCCUAGUCUAAAAGUACUCCCUAAGACCACAGAUAAGGCGGCGCGUGGGAAAGAUGCUUGCUGAAAGCGCCAAGGCUGCUGCGGUCUGAAGGCACUGCCCGUCCUCCGCAACAGAUUGUACCUUCCCUCCUUCCUCCUCCAAUACUGAGCCCAUUAGUAAUGGCUAGUAAUUAACACUUCCUUGUUAGGCACUGACACUUUUUUUUUUUUUAAUCAUCACUUCGCAGAUGCAGAAACUUAGUUGGAUUUUAUAAUAUCACUGAAUGCAGCAGUGCACACAAACACACAUGCACAAAAGAAUUACUGCAUACUAACAUUCACCUCAACAAGUAAUUUCAGCUAUUAAAUUUAUACCCACUUCUGUUAGACUAAUGAAGGUAUUAGCAAUAAAAUAAUAUUGAAGUUAAUUCCACUCAAAUUAUUAGUACUCGAGUAUUGAUAAUUAUAAUUGGUAAUAUGAUCAUUAAUAGUCAUUAUUAACAUUAAAGUGUUAUUGUUGAUAUUGAAGUCCUCCACUUCUUGAUCUAUUUUAAAUGAUACAAGAAACGUGUUCCCAUGCUGAUCCAUGGUGUCUGUAUCAAACCCACCAAAAACAAGUGUAGCACCUUGGAUUCUUGCCUGCAGUUUACCAGCAGCUACUUUGCCCCACCUCUCACAGCCAUCCUUCAGAAGCAUGAACCAACUUUUCACUUCACUCGUGAACAGUAAAUAAUUCAGUGACACAAGACUGGAUUAAAUCAGAAGACCAAAAUCCCUGUUCAGAAGGAACAAGUGUUAGGCAUGCUACAUCAGUGAUGGUAUCAGAAGCAUUCCGAAGAGCAGUGUGACAGCAGUGACACAGCUCAGCCCUUUGCAGUGAUACCUGCCUGGGCGAGCCCUGUUAGCUGCACUGCACUACAACACAGCCUGCAGGCACCUCACAGUCUGGCUUCUUGGGUUCCACAGAGGGUUUCAUUAACAAAUACAUCCCAAAGGGUCAGAGUCCAAAACGCUUCAGUAUAGUGUGCUUUAAGUUUCCUUCGUAGGCAAAAUAUCCUCACGCCAAGCCUGAAUUUUCCACGUGGGGUGAGCCCCCAGUGUAGGCUGGCUGUGUACCCACAGUGGACUCAAAUCCGAGUAGAAAUGAAGCCAACACAUCGCUCCCUCCAGUGGCAAGUGUCAGUACUGACGCGUCCGAGAACUCAAGCGUGCCUCCAAAUGACAGGAGAUUGGGAUUUUCUUCAUGCUACAGGAUGCACAUCGAGUUACUUCAUAUGAAGCAUUGUUCUGAAAUAAGGAAUUCCACGGCCUUAUCUGUGGUUGUUAAUGUCAUAAUUCAUAAAGAGCAAUAUAUUUAUGAUGAUGUUAUUUAGAAUAAUUGGCUGAAAUAAUAAUAAUUAAAAAAUAAAAGUAAAAGAACACUUCACCACACCUAUAUGUGGAGUUAGCAAAAUAUCUGCUAGUUGGGAAAGGAGGGAGGAUGUCUGUCCAUUCAGGUGACACAAAUCAAAGUACAUUUAUUUGGAGAUGGGCCUCAUACCUGCUCCACCUGAUGCUACAAAAAAGUUAAAUAGCUUCCUGUUUCUUUCAAAUUUCAGGAUUUGGAAGGCACUUGGCAGAUUUGUAGGUGAGGCAGUAAUCCGCAGCUCUAAGCUGAAGCUCACUUGAAGAACAGUUCUUCAAACAAACCGCUCAGUCAAUGACAGCGAGUGACUCCGCUGGUUUCUGAAUUACAGCCUUAAAGGAACCACACAGGAAAAAUCCAGAUAAUCUAAAAACAAGUAAUGUGGCUAAUCCUUAACUAGUCAAUUCUGCUAACAUUCAUAUCAAUUGUCUUGAUUUCAUACAGACAUUGAACACACUGUUUUUAUCCUGAGACCAGGAAGUAAACAGGCAACUCCUAAGGUUGUUGCAAAUAAUCAACAAAAGAAGGCUUGGACAACUGAAUUAUUUGGGCUUCCCGAUCAUUUUUUCUUUGGAGAGCCACAUUCCAAGAAGAUAUUGGUUGAUGUUUCUCUCUGCAGAAGUCUGUGGUAAAAUUUGAAUUAAUAAAACCCUAAGUAAACCUAAAUGCUUAAAGAGUAUUAUUGAGUUGUGGGUUUGUUUGUUAUUUUUAGUUUAUAAAAAAACACAGAUAAAUCCAAUCCUGAGCUCUAGCAUUAAGUGCCAAAUUCCUACAGGUGCAGAAUGUCUUCAUCUUUCCGUACCAUGUCAGAAAAAAAACAGGGAUAUCACCUAUUUCUGGAUCCCACACAAAUGGAUGCAUGAAGAAGAGAAGGCACAAGAGACAAGAGGAAUUAAAAGUUCCAGCUUACCAGAUGACAGUGUUUGCUACUACUCCUGGCUUUAGAAGCCACUGGAAGCUGCUGCAAAAUAGAGGAGCCUUCCAAAACUUGCUGCUAUUGGCUGACUUGGUGGCUACACAGCUCCACAAGUCAAGUCCCAAAAGCUUCCUUUAUGUCAGCCCUCUCUGCUGCUCUGAGUGGCUCCUAAUGCUAAGUUUCAGCAUACAGAAUUCUAAAUUCCUGAAAUGUCAUUCCGUCCACAAAGUAUUCAAUACACUCUUAAUAGUUCACCUAAAAAAAUAAAACUCAUGGAUAAUUUUUUCCCGCUGACUCACUCCGAAGCUCUGACAUUCAUUUUGCAGUCCUGUGACUUAUUUGGUAUUAAUUUUCCUAGCAGAGAUCUUUGUCAUAUGCUAAAAAAGAAUGUGACUGAUAUGCAAAAUAGAGGAUAAAAAAAAAUUGUGAUGUAGUUUACCAAAA
This is a long non-coding RNA of Tympanuchus pallidicinctus (lesser prairie-chicken), 2812 nucleotides long. RefSeq lists it as uncharacterized. The record is from RefSeq and is a predicted model, not a curated record. NCBI's taxonomy places the organism in Eukaryota, Metazoa, Chordata, Aves, Galliformes, Phasianidae. The transcript is spliced from 2 exons.